RNAcentral lists this long non-coding RNA (617 nucleotides) under Aotus nancymaae (Ma's night monkey). RNAcentral's name for it is "lncRNA (ENSANAG00000038703.1)". The record is from RNAcentral. Lineage: Eukaryota; Metazoa; Chordata; Mammalia; Primates; Aotidae.
UUUUAUUGUUUGCUUGACAAAGAGGAAAGAAAAAGAAUGGGAUAGAUCAGUGGUUCUCCCAAGUGUGGUCUCUGGACCAGGAUCAUCCACGACAUUAGGGAACUUAAUAGGACUGUAGAAUCUCAGAUCCCACCUCAGACCUACUUAAUUUCAGCAACUCUGAGGACCAGGAUCCAGCCAGCUGUGGUUUAACAAGCCAGUCAGGUGAUUCCAUUAUCAGCUAAACUCUGAGAUCCACAGGCACAGACAUUUUACCUCAUUAAUCUGACUAAAAAACCCUCAUCUUCUCUGCCCAGCCUCAUCCUUCUGCGGGACGUGGAGGACGCGGGACGACGCGUAGGACUGGGCUGUCAGCCCCAGAAUUGUGACCCGAGGUGCAGUUUUACCUUGUGAAGUGGGAAUAACCAAAUGGAAGCAGGAUGAGUUCGGAAUCCAAGGAGUUUGGGUCUGGUAAGUGAGCCAUGAUGCUGCAGUUCUCCGGGUUGUAUUGUGUCUGUCUGAUUUGAUAGAGGGCCCUGUAGAAGCUGAGGCUGAGGCUACUAGAAGCUCCAGGCCCAGCAGAGAUGUGAAGACAGGUGAAAACCGGGGGAUUAGGUGACUUCCUAGUUCCACAAUUG